GUAUGUCGCCGGCAUUUUCCUAGGGGGGUUGGAAGGCGUGAUUCUAUUGGUUCGUCUAGUCUAACCGACCAAUGAACUGCGGCUGUUACAUAAGGUUACGUCCAUGAUUGUUAUUUCUUACAGCUGAUUCCCGCAGACGACCAACUUCUCGCAAAGUACAAUGGCUGGCGAUGCUGGUGUUGACCCCUCUCAGUUCAAGGGCAUGGCCCGCUACUUCAAUGCUUCUACAAUCAGCGGAAGAGCAAAUAUUGCUAAAGCAACUUACGGUGUUCUUGGGCUCAUCAUCCUUUACAAUGUAGUGAAGCCAUCUAAAAAGUAGAUAUUGUAUUUUCAUUGUGUGGGUACAAAUUUGCGUGUAGAUAAAAUUAAAUGUGUUAAGUAAA
Long non-coding RNA from Macrobrachium nipponense, 383 nucleotides. RefSeq lists it as uncharacterized. The transcript is spliced from 3 exons. NCBI's taxonomy places the organism in Eukaryota, Metazoa, Arthropoda, Malacostraca, Decapoda, Palaemonidae. The record is from RefSeq and is a predicted model, not a curated record.